AUGAGGGUGCAGCGGCCGGUGCAGCAUCCCAUGGUCCCCGAGCAGCGGGGGCAGGGCAGGGCAGUGGCCGCGGCCCCGCCGCCGCCCUGGGCUCGGCUCUGCCCGCUCCGCAGCGGAGGUCGCUCGGUGUCGCUCGCUCGGUGUCGGUCGGCGGCGAGGCAGGAUGACGGCGAACGGGACGGCGGAGCCGGUGCAGAUCCAGUUCGGGCUGAUCAAUUGCAGCAACCGGUACCUGACGGCGGAGGCGUUCGGUUUCAAGGUGAACGCCUCGGCCGCCAGCAUGAAGAAGAAGCAGAUCUGGACGCUGGAGCAGGACGGGGAGGACUCCAGCGCCGUCCUGCUCAAGAGCCACCUGGGCCGGUACCUGGCGGCCGACAAGGACGGGCGGGUGAGCUGCGACAGCGAGGAGCCGGGCCCCGACUGCCGGUUCCUGGUGCUGGCCCACGGCGACGGGCGGUGGUCGCUGCAGUCCGAGCCCCACCGCCGCUUCUUCGGCGGCACCGAGGACCGCCUCUCCUGCUUCGCCCCCGCCGUCUCUGCCGCCGAGAAGUGGAGCGUCCACCUGGCCAUGCACCCCCAGGCCAACCUGUACAGCCUGGCCCGCAAGCGCUACGCGCACCUGGGGCCCCGCCGCGACGAGCUGGCCGUGGACCGCGACGUGCCCUGGGGCGUGGAUGCGCUCAUCACCCUCCUGUUCGUGGAGNACGCCGGGAUGCGCCCCCCGGGCCCCCGCAGGCGCGCUGGGAUGCUCCGGGCCCGGCCGGCCCUCCCCCGGGAGGCGGGGGCAGCUCGGAUUCCCCGGACGGGGCAGCCUCUCCUUUCUCUCUCGGCCGGACGCGGGUGAGCGGGCCGUGCUGGGACACAGGGCUGUGCUGGCCAGGUGUGUGUGCGGGACACACGGGCUGUGCAGCUCCUCUUUCACAAAUGCUCCCCCGUGCAGGUGCUGCUGCGUUCACCCUGGACGUUACCAAGCCCCAAACUAACCUAAAAUACAGUGGUUUUUCCCCAAAAAUUUGCCAGAGAAGGUGCACAUAG
RNAcentral lists this long non-coding RNA (1035 nucleotides) under Cyanistes caeruleus (blue tit). RNAcentral's name for it is "lncRNA (ENSCCEG00000021564.1)". Lineage: Eukaryota; Metazoa; Chordata; Aves; Passeriformes; Paridae. The record is from RNAcentral.